This 1541-nucleotide long non-coding RNA is filed under the name Solanum tuberosum (potato). Its description in RNAcentral is "long non-coding RNA (STUB_LNC004946)". The record is from RNAcentral. Lineage: Eukaryota; Viridiplantae; Streptophyta; Magnoliopsida; Solanales; Solanaceae.
CACUAUAUUAACUCACUAUAUUAAAACAUGCUUCAAUUGAGAUUUUGAGAUUUGCACCUCCAAUAGUAAAGUCAACUGAUGAACCUACGCACCAAUAGGUAACUUUUGUCAAGUAGCAUCAUCCUGUUAAAUGUAUAUCUUUAUGCAUAGUAUUAGUAUAUAUGAGUAAAAAGAAUCGAGAAAGGGGUGUUUCUUGACACCCUUUUGCUCAAUAUGGGCCCGUUCAUGCCUCCGGUCAUGUUGUAUAUACUUUUUUCUUUUUAUUUUAUGGGACAUUGUUUGACUUAGUACGAUGUUUUACAAAUUUUGCUAAUUGGAUAUUAGCUUAUUUCACUUGCAUUAAUCUAUAGUAAUAGGUGACUGUUAAAUGUCGGCUAAUAUAUACCAAAUUUUUGAUGAUUUAUUUAGAUAGAUUCAAGUCUUAAAUAUGAUUACAUUUCAUGGAAAAUGACAUUUCUCACAUGCUUAUGUUUGUGAAGAAAGACUGUAAUUAUUUCGUAAAGGUGGAGGAACUUGAGGGUAGUUUGAAGGAUUUUGGCGAGUAGGUGCUGGCGUUUUUCAAGACCCCGCACCUAGAGACUGGGGAGAAACGUUGUGGUAAAAGUUGGAGGUAGGUGCAAACUAUGUUCACACUACAAAUGACGAAAGUUUCACUCAACUGAUCCUUGUGUACACAGUAACAGGUUUUCGAUGAUGCCAAAAUGGGGAAGACUCAUACUAAUUAUUUAUAAUCCAUAAAACUAAGCUGGUUCAUCUAAGUGGCUCAUUCCUGUGUUAUCUGUUGGCGUGUACUAAAUGGAACAGGUUAAGCACAAAACAUAAGUUUGUCAUUAUCAAAAAGGGGGAAUUUAUUGGACUUGAUGAGAUUCGAUGAUAGACAAGAUGAAUUGGGCAAAUUCAAUGGGAUGUACAAAUUGGAGAAGGACUAAUGAAGAAAGAUGUAUUCUUAUCUUUAGUUGCACAUAACUAGUGAUACUGGAUCUUAGUUUGAGGUUGUUAAAACAAUGUCACUAUAUGACUGACAUUUUGUUUAUGCCAUUGUUCUCUUAUUGGGUUAUGAUUCGCUUGAUGUAGGACUAGUUAGGUGUCAUCACGACUUAGGAAAAUUAGGUCUUAACCGUGACAGUUCUCAGUUUACAUCUUUUAUCUCUUGACUUGUUAAAACACAUUCAAAGGGAAACAAGAAAGAAGAGAUCAAUGACAUUUGGAAUAUACAUAUUCAAUUAGGUAUAUUGUAGAUUAGCAGGGGAAGCACACAACAAUUACAAAAUCAUAAACUAGAAACUUUCAAUGUUGCUUGUAACAAAAUGUAAAGUUGAUCUUUUACUAUAUGCAUUGUAUUUGCAUCAUUUCUUUAGUCUAUAAGUAGGAAUAGCCAUCAAAGGCUUUUCUCUACAUGUUACUAUCCCAAACUUCUCAUCAAUGUCUAAAUCACAAGGCUGAAUACCAUUUGGAAGCUCCCACUCAAAGCAAUGUACCAAUUGUGCCACCACAAGGCGGACGAUGGUAACUGCCAACUGCAUUCCAGGGCAGCUUCUUCU